AUAAAUCACAGGAAAAGCUUUCCAUAGAUUCUCUAUUUAUGCUUUUUGAUCAUCACAUAUCAUCAAAAAAGGAUCAAUAUAGCAUAAUAGCUUAAUUAGUAGGGUGAUCAAGAUCAUAUAUAUUCAUCAUCUUUUCCAUCCCCUUCUUUUACCUCUCCAUUUUCUAUCUCAUGCAUGUCUAGUUCAAGAGGCUCAAGGUGUUGAGGGACUUCGUAGGAGAGAUUUUGGGCUGUGGAGUUUGAGGGGUAGGAAGGGAAUGGACAUACUUGCAGUUAGGGCAAGAAGGAGAGGAUCUUGAGAGUAUGACAAGAAGAUGACAAUUCAAGCAAGCCAAUGCUACCAUAUUAUUGUUGCUGCAGCUUGAAGAGGCUUGGAGCUUCUUCGAGUAUUCUUCAAGUGACGAACUAUUAAUAUAAUUAGAUCUUCUGCAUUGCUGAUGAUGAUCAGGACAAUCAGAGAGUGGUGAAAUGUUGAGUUCAAGGUCAAGCUUUUGAUCCACGUUGGGCCAGUUCCAACUCUUUCUUAAGGUCUUCCUGUUCAGAUAAUACAUUUUGCCUGACUGCAAACAAAAAUUAACAAUAAAUAUAGAUAUUUUAUGUAGGCAAAGAUCAAAAUUUUUAAGUGAAUUUGAAUCUAAUCAAAGCCAAACGAACUUUAAAAAAAGAAUUCUGUGUUUGUUUGAGAGAGAGACCUCAAGAUCAAGGCAUUGCUCCCAAUCCGGAGGGAGAGGGUCCUUAACAUGAAGAUCAACAAUACUUGUCUGGAAUGGUGGUACAGCGCUCCUGAGCAGGUGAUGAUCUGAGAAGAACUUCCUCUUCCUGCUGCUACUGCUGGAACUGGCAAAGUUAUUUUCAGAUUCUGAAGAUGAGUUAUUCAACUGUGAUGGAGCCAAGGAAAGCUCUGUCAAUUCCAUUAUCCCUCCAAAAAGAUGUUGCCCUUUUGCAGAUUCAAUAAUAUUCCACUAUAUUAAAAUGUCCCUAUCACCUCUAUCCCUCCCUACACACAGCUUUUGCUUUCCAUUAUUCUGGUUUUCAAGGUUGAGGAAAGAGAGAAGAGUGAAGAGAAGAAAAAAGAAGAGAACCCAAUUGAGGAUUGUGAACAAGAAGAAUAUGUAGUGUAGAACAUACCCAAUUCCUCUCUUUUGGAUUUUCUAGAGUCAUGCAAGAGAGGGAG
Molecule: unclassified non-coding RNA, 1173 nt
Filed under: Hevea brasiliensis (rubber tree)
Lineage: Eukaryota; Viridiplantae; Streptophyta; Magnoliopsida; Malpighiales; Euphorbiaceae
Source: RNAcentral